GGUGUAGGCGGCCAAGUAAGUCUGAUGUGAAAUCCCUCGGCUUAACCGAGGAAGUGCAUCAGAAACUGCUUGGCUUGAGUAUGGGAGAGGAAGGCGGAAUUCCCGGUGUAGCGGUGACAUGCGUAGAUAUCGGGAGGAACACCUGUGGCGAAGGCGGCCUUCUGGCCCAAUACUGACGCUGAGACCCGAAAGCGUGGGGAGCAAACAGGAUUAGAUACCCUGGUAGUCCACGCCGUAAACGUUGGGUACUAGGUGUGGGAGGUUUAAUACCUUCUGUGCCGCAGCUAACGCAUUAAGUACCCCGCCUGGGGAGUACGGUCGCAAGAUUAAA
RNAcentral lists this ribosomal RNA (331 nucleotides) under uncultured bacterium. RNAcentral's name for it is "bacterial SSU rRNA". It matches the Rfam family "Bacterial small subunit ribosomal RNA", at positions 568 to 898 of the family's 1533-position model. The record is from RNAcentral.